RNAcentral lists this ribosomal RNA (778 nucleotides) under uncultured bacterium. Its description in RNAcentral is "bacterial SSU rRNA". It matches the Rfam family "Bacterial small subunit ribosomal RNA", at positions 28 to 777 of the family's 1533-position model. The record is from RNAcentral.
AACUAACGCUGGCGGCGCGCCUAACACAUGCAAGUCGAGCGAGAAAAUGGACCUUCGGGUCCCAUGAGUAAAGCGGCGCACGGGUGAGUAACGCGUGAGUAACCUAUCCUUGAGUCUGGGAUAACACCGCGAAAGUGGUGCUAAUACCGGAUGAGACCACAGAUACCUUGGUAUCAGCGGUCAAAGAUGGCCUCUUCUUGAAAGCUGUCGCUUAAGGCCGGGCUCGCGUACCAUUAGCUAGUUGGUAGGGUAAUGGCCUACCAAGGCUACGAUGGUUAGCUGGUCUGAGAGGACGAUCAGCCACACUGGAACUGGAACACGGUCCAGACUCCUACGGGAGGCAGCAGUGAGGAAUCUUGCGCAAUGGGGGAAACCCUGACGCAGCGACGCCGCGUGGGUGAUGAAGGCCUUCGGGUCGUAAAGCCCUGUCGAGAGGGAAGAAUUGCUUUCUGGUUAAUAGCCUGAAAGUUUGACGGUACCUCCAAAGGAAGCACCGGCUAACUCCGUGCCAGCAGCCGCGGUAACACGGAGGGUGCUAGCGUUGUUCGGAAUCACUGGGCGUAAAGGGCGAGUAGGCGGUUUGGUAAGUCAGGUGUGAAAUCCCUGGGCUCAACCCAGGACGUGCACAUGAUACUGCCAUUCUUGAGUACGGGAGAGGGAGGCGGAAUUCCGAGUGUAGAGGUGAAAUUCGUAGAUAUUCGGAGGAACAUCGGUGGCGAACGCGGCCUCCUGGACCGAUACUGACGCUGAGGCGCGAAAGCGUGGGGAGCAAACAGGA